GAUUAAAUAAGGGUUGAAUAAAGAAAACUAAUGAAAGAUCAAUUUAUUAACAUGACGAAAAGACAAUUAACUUGAAAAAACGCUGUGUCUUCAGACGUAGACUCUUAAUUUGGCGGAAAAGCGAUUAGCCUAUUAUUAUGUGAAAUAAAAAGUAGGCUACAUUGGACUAAAUUAAACACAUUGGGUAGGCUGUCCUCGAUAAAAACGAAAGACACACAUGGAGAAAUAUCGCAUAUUAACUUGGAUAUUAACUUGGAACCGGAAUCCUAUAGGAUCCGGUGCGCCACCACACAAUGCAAACAUAAACAUCCGAUUACGCUAGCUCUACAUGGCUACUGUUGAGCCAUACAGGCAAGACUGGAAAAGGACUCCCAGACCCCUCGACCAAAGGCGAUCAAGCUUUUUGGUUGGCUUCUACUUUUCUGGGACAACCUUUCUGGUGAAUGUUGGCCCGCACAGGCCCCGUACCAAGAGACAGAAAAUGUUGAAAGAGGGUUGCACUGCUGUACAAAUUGUCCAUGUAUAGUACUACAUGGCCUUCUCUCAGGUGUGCAGAGCAAGUAAGGUCAGCACAAAGCGACCCAUCCCUGCUGAACAUCAACUAAACCGUCGAGCACUUAAUUCCUUGAUGUACCAGCAGUGGCUGAAAGACCGUCUGCCAUCCCACAUCUUCACCACAUUGCAUAGAGGGACUAUAGAGAACUUCCAGAGGAGCUGCAUCACGGCUGGUUUUGGAACUGCACCGCUUUAAACCGCAACUCUGCAGAGGAUGGUGAGGACAGCCGGGAAGAUAGUCAGGGUCUCUCUUCCCUCCCUCACAAACAUACCUAAUGCUGCAUCCGCAAAGCCACACGCAUUGUGGGAAAACCCAUGCACCCCACACGCACCUGUACAUCCUCAGACUUCACUCGAUAUUUUUGCAUAUGGCUGCUACCUCAUUAACUGAUGUCCACACAUGGUAUUAGGAUGUUAUGUUUAC
This is a long non-coding RNA of Hypomesus transpacificus, 979 nucleotides long. RefSeq lists it as uncharacterized. NCBI's taxonomy places the organism in Eukaryota, Metazoa, Chordata, Actinopteri, Osmeriformes, Osmeridae. The transcript is spliced from 3 exons. The record is from RefSeq and is a predicted model, not a curated record.